Molecule: ribosomal RNA, 252 nt
Filed under: uncultured bacterium
Lineage: Bacteria
Description: partial 16S ribosomal RNA
Rfam family: Bacterial small subunit ribosomal RNA
Source: RNAcentral
UACGAAGGGGGCUAGCGUUGCUCGGAAUCACUGGGCGUAAAGCGCACGUAGGCGGCUUUCUAAGUCAGGGGUGAAAUCCUGGAGCUCAACUCCAGAACUGCCUUUGAUACUGGAGAGCUUGAGUCCGGAAGAGGUGAGUGGAACUCCGAGUGUAGAGGUGAAAUUCGUAGAUAUUGGAAGAACACCAGUGGCGAAGGCGGCUCACUGGUCCGGUACUGACGCUGAUGUGCGAAAGCGUGGGGAGCAACAGGG